Molecule: ribosomal RNA, 301 nt
Filed under: uncultured bacterium
Lineage: Bacteria
Description: partial 16S ribosomal RNA
Rfam family: Bacterial small subunit ribosomal RNA
Source: RNAcentral
CAGCCGCCACGGUAAUACGAAGGGUGCAAGCGUUAAUCGGAAUUACUGGGCGUAAAGCGUGCGUAGGCGGUGAGUUAAGUCUGCUGUGAAAUCCCCGGGCUCAACCCGGGAAUGGCAGUGGAUACUGGCUCGCUAGAGUGUGUCAGAGGAUGGUGGAAUUCCCGGUGUAGCGGUGAAAUGCGUAGAGAUCGGGAGGAACAUCAGUGGCGAAGGCGGCCAUCUGGGACAACACUGACGCUGAGGCACGAAAGCGUGGGGAGCAAACAGGAUUAGAUACCCCGGUAGUCCCUGUCUCUUAUAC